This 83-nucleotide transfer RNA is filed under the name Candidatus Omnitrophota bacterium. RNAcentral's name for it is "Candidatus Omnitrophica bacterium tRNA-Leu". It matches the Rfam family "tRNA". From Rfam's summary of the family: Transfer RNA (tRNA) molecules are approximately 80 nucleotides in length. Their secondary structure includes four short double-helical elements and three loops (D, anti-codon, and T loops). Further hydrogen bonds mediate the characteristic L-shaped molecular structure. tRNAs have two regions of fundamental functional importance: the anti-codon, which is responsible for specific mRNA codon recognition, and the 3' end, to which the tRNAs corresponding amino acid is attached (by aminoacyl-tRNA synthetases). tRNAs cope with the degeneracy of the genetic code in two manners: having more than one tRNA (with a specific anti-codon) for a particular amino acid; and 'wobble' base-pairing, i.e. permitting non-standard base-pairing at the 3rd anti-codon position. The record is from RNAcentral. RNAcentral also lists the same sequence under 1 other name. Lineage: Bacteria; Pseudomonadati; Candidatus Omnitrophota.
GGGCAAGUGGUGGAAUGGCAUACACGCAGGACUUAAAAUCCUGUGGCCGAAAGGCCGUGUGGGUUCGACUCCCACCUUGCCCA